UGUGGUGUGUGUGUGUGGUGUGUGUGUGUGUGUGUGUGUGUUGUGUGUGUGUGUGUCACACACACACACACACACACACACACACACACACACACACAGUUUAGUUUAGGAUGAUUACACAGGCCAUCCACUCCAUCUCUGAAACAUCU
Molecule: small nucleolar RNA, 149 nt
Organism: Salvelinus sp. IW2-2015
Lineage: Eukaryota; Metazoa; Chordata; Actinopteri; Salmoniformes; Salmonidae
Product: small nucleolar RNA SNORA23
Exons: 1
Source: RefSeq, a predicted model, not a curated record